CAUCAGUCCCCUCCUUCCUUCAGUUCUGAAGCUGUGUCUGAUUCAUUGUGACAGCCCCUCUCCCAUGGGUCCCAUCAUCCCUCCCUGCAUCUCACUUCUGCUGGGAAUUCCCAAAGCAGAAGGAGUUUUCUUUGCUGCUUCCCUUUUCAGAAACUUGGAGACCAUAUAUCUUUGCAAAGUGGAUUUUUAAAAAUAAAACAAAGAAGAAAAGAUUAAAAUGGAGAAGCUCCCAAGUUUUCUGCCUUCUGCCUGGACCAGCUUCCUGUGCUUCUUCCUUUCCAAAAUUGAUGUGGUAAAUGUUAUUGCAGUAGCCCUGGCUCAGAAAAGCCCAGGCCUUCCAAGAACGCAACCUUCAUGGAGAAAUUCUGCGACUCUUUCUCCUCUGCCUAGGCUGGAGAGGUAAGAUGUAGAAGGAGAGAGAGACAAAGAGACACGGAGAAAUUUGCCUUAUUAGUGGCUUUCAAGAGAACAAGGCCAGAAGACAGAGUCCUGGACCUUAUCCAUUUCACUAUGAGAUGACAUUGCAAGAAGUCCCUUCCUAGGUGCUGGCACCUUGAUCCUGGACUUCCCACCCUCCAG
This is a long non-coding RNA of Cebus imitator (Panamanian white-faced capuchin), 579 nucleotides long. RefSeq lists it as uncharacterized. The record is from RefSeq and is a predicted model, not a curated record. NCBI's taxonomy places the organism in Eukaryota, Metazoa, Chordata, Mammalia, Primates, Cebidae. The transcript is spliced from 3 exons.